Molecule: ribosomal RNA, 1695 nt
Filed under: Enterobacter hormaechei
Lineage: Bacteria; Pseudomonadati; Pseudomonadota; Gammaproteobacteria; Enterobacterales; Enterobacteriaceae
Also listed under: 1 other name
Description: partial 23S ribosomal RNA
Rfam family: Bacterial large subunit ribosomal RNA
Source: RNAcentral
UGCUGGAGGUAUCAGAAGUGCGAAUGCUGACAUAAGUAACGAUAAAGCGGGUGAAAAGCCCGCUCGCCGGAAGACCAAGGGUUCCUGUCCAACGUUAAUCGGGGCAGGGUGAGUCGACCCCUAAGGCGAGGCCGAAAGGCGUAGUCGAUGGGAAACAGGUUAAUAUUCCUGUACUUGGUGUUACUGCGAAGGGGGGACGGAGAAGGCUAUGUCAGCCGGGCGACGGUUGUCCCGGUUUAAGCAUGUAGGCGGAGGUUCCAGGUAAAUCCGGUACCUUAUUAACGCUGAGGUGUGAUGACGAGGCACUACGGUGCUGAAGUGAUAAAUGCCCUGCUUCCAGGAAAAGCCUCUAAGCAUCAGGUAACACGAAAUCGUACCCCAAACCGACACAGGUGGUCAGGUAGAGAAUACCAAGGCGCUUGAGAGAACUCGGGUGAAGGAACUAGGCAAAAUGGUGCCGUAACUUCGGGAGAAGGCACGCUGAUAUGUAGGUGAAGUCCCUGCGGACGGAGCUGAAAUCAGUCGAAGAUACCAGCUGGCUGCAACUGUUUAUUAAAAACACAGCACUGUGCAAACACGAAAGUGGACGUAUACGGUGUGACGCCUGCCCGGUGCCGGAAGGUUAAUUGAUGGGGUUAGCGGCAACGCGAAGCUCUUGAUCGAAGCCCCGGUAAACGGCGGCCGUAACUAUAACGGUCCUAAGGUAGCGAAAUUCCUUGUCGGGUAAGUUCCGACCUGCACGAAUGGCGUAAUGAUGGCCAGGCUGUCUCCACCCGAGACUCAGUGAAAUUGAACUCGCUGUGAAGAUGCAGUGUACCCGCGGCAAGACGGAAAGACCCCGUGAACCUUUACUAUAGCUUGACACUGAACACUGGUCCUUGAUGUGUAGGAUAGGUGGGAGGCUUUGAAGCGUGGACGCCAGUCUGCGUGGAGCCAACCUUGAAAUACCACCCUUUAAUGGCUGGUGUUCUAACGUAGACCCGUAAUCCGGGUUGCGGACAGUGUCUGGUGGGUAGUUUGACUGGGGCGGUCUCCUCCCAAAGAGUAACGGAGGAGCACGAAGGUUGGCUAAUCCUGGUCGGACAUCAGGAGGUUAGUGCAAUGGCAUAAGCCAGCUUGACUGCGAGCGUGACGGCGCGAGCAGGUGCGAAAGCAGGUCAUAGUGAUCCGGUGGUUCUGAAUGGAAGGGCCAUCGCUCAACGGAUAAAAGGUACUCCGGGGAUAACAGGCUGAUACCGCCCAAGAGUUCAUAUCGACGGCGGUGUUUGGCACCUCGAUGUCGGCUCAUCACAUCCUGGGGCUGAAGUAGGUCCCAAGGGUAUGGCUGUUCGCCAUUUAAAGUGGUACGCGAGCUGGGUUUAGAACGUCGUGAGACAGUUCGGUCCCUAUCUGCCGUGGGCGCUGGAGAAUUGAGGGGGGCUGCUCCUAGUACGAGAGGACCGGAGUGGACGCAUCACUGGUGUUCGGGUUGUCAUGCCAAUGGCACUGCCCGGUAGCUAAAUGCGGAAGAGAUAAGUGCUGAAAGCAUCUAAGCACGAAACUUGCCCCGAGAUGAGUUCUCCCUGAGACUUUAAGUCUCCUGAAGGAACGUUGAAGACUACGACGUUGAUAGGUCGGGUGUGUAAGCGCAGCGAUGCGUUGAGCUAACCGAUACUAAUGAACCGUGAGGCUUAACCUUACAACGCCGAAGCUGUU